GAUGAACGCUGGCGGCGUGCUUAACACAUGCAAGUCGAACGGAAAGGCCCAAGCUUGCUUGGGUACUCGAGUGGCGAACGGGUGAGUAACACGUGGGUGAUCUGCCCUGCACUUCGGGAUAAGCCUGGGAAACUGGGUCUAAUACCGGAUAGGACCACAUCUUGGAUGGUGUGGUGGAAAGUUUUUCGGUGUGGGAUGAGCUCGCGGCCUAUCAGCUUGUUGGUGGGGUAAUGGCCUACCAAGGCGUCGACGGGUAGCCGGCCUGAGAGGGUGUACGGCCACAUUGGGACUGAGAUACGGCCCAGACUCCGACGGGGGGCAGCAGUGGGGAAUAUUGCACAAUGGGCGCAAGCCUGAUGCAGCGACGCCGCGUGGGGGAUGACGGCCUUCGGGUUGUAAACUCCUUUCGCUAGGGACGAAGCGUUUUUGUGACGGUACCUGGAGAAGAAGCACCGGCUAACUACGUG
RNAcentral lists this ribosomal RNA (467 nucleotides) under uncultured bacterium. RNAcentral's name for it is "partial 16S ribosomal RNA". It matches the Rfam family "Bacterial small subunit ribosomal RNA", at positions 28 to 507 of the family's 1533-position model. The record is from RNAcentral.